Molecule: long non-coding RNA, 3008 nt
Organism: Cairina moschata (Muscovy duck)
Lineage: Eukaryota; Metazoa; Chordata; Aves; Anseriformes; Anatidae
Source: Ensembl
GAGCCUGUGCCAGAGCAUGGAAGAUGUUUCCACGGAAAUCAGACACGGUGGUGUCAACAGGGACUGCAGGAGCUCAUCCUCCAUCGGGGUAGGGUUUGGAUGCUCAGAGCAGACCCACACAGCAACCGCCAGGGACAAAAAUAAACGCCUGCCAUUUGGAGGAGAAACCAUCCCACACACAGAGGGUGAGGUGGGCUUGGCAGGGAAACACAAGCACCACCUGCUGCUGCAAACGCUUGGCACGUGUCCCCAAGGAGAUCUAAGCAUGUGCCGAAGAGCUUCUCUCAUCUGGGCAGUUAUUGCACGGUUACUGCAGUUACUGCACAGCACUCUGGAAGAACUCACAGCUCUUUUAGCCAAUCUACUAAAGGAGAAGAAUCAUUCUGGAGCAAUUUGCUGCUAAAAUGAGGCUUCAGCAGAUGAUACGAGCAUCUUGAGAGACAGCACAGCACAAAACCCUUCUGCUCCACAGACCUGGAAAAGGCAGGUGCAUUUCAGAGAUUAAAUACACUUAAUUAAAAAUUAAAAAAAUUCCACCUCUAAGGAACUUUUCUUAAACAAAGUUUUUUGGCACAGCUCUUUCCUUGUAGCUGCAAUUUGACAGUGAACGCAUUGUAUGUCCUGAAAAAAAACUACAAUCCCAGUGGCAGAAAGACCAGAGAGGAAAAUUUUCAUCUGGCAGCAUGGGCUGCAUGCCUGAUAUGUGCUGUUUUGGUGAGGACAGAGCACCAAAGUGCACCUAGAAAGCUGCUUGUGAUGUGUUCAAGUUCUAUCCUGAUCAUCACAUUUAAUCAAAAUCAAGCCAAAAAAAAAUGGAAAUGCCUGGAACAAAAUCCUCAGUAUGAUGACUAAACACCAACUGCCCAAACUCAAACACAGUGGGAGUAAUUAGGACAGCAGAGCAAAGCCCCGUGUUUGAAGCUAACAAACUGAGAGCAGGCGGUAUGAGAAGGUCUGAGAUCUCCAACCCGUCCCAUUUCCCCACAGGCUCUCAGGAGCACCACGAUGUACAAACAGUGUCGUGGUAUUUAAUGCCAGAAGGGGCAGUGGGAUCAUCCAGCCUGAGCUCCCAUAUCACCAGGGCCAUGUACCUACACAUCUGGUCGAGACGUGUGUUAUUGAAAGUCACCUAAUUCCGACCUGAAGACCUUUUAUCAGGACAUGCCACCAUCUCCCAAGGACUUUGUGCCUUAAUUCAACCCCCUUAAAAUCCGAGCUUUUGCUCUAGAUGAUACAAUAACCUGUGUGAAUUGCUCCUUUCCUCUUGAAUCUGAGCUGAGCCUGAGCACUACUGUAAAAUCCUGAUUUGAUCCAGAAGGAACACAGAAUUGCUUCGGGCCAAGCUGAACCUGAACAGUGUCGAGGACAGCUGAGCUUCGACUGGAAAUUACUCAGUCCUCGUUGAAUCCAAACCAGGGAGAAGUCAGAUCGUCCUCUCCCACACCGGUGAGAUGUAAGAACUAAGUUUUCUUACCAUUUUUCAGCAUUGCCUGUAAGAGGUGCCCAUCCUAGCUGCGUGCAGACUGCCAUGGUCUCCUCACACAAGCAGCUGGAGACCGAUUCCUUCCUGGCCCCGCUCCCGGCACCUCCAGGAAUCGCAGCCCUUCCAGCAAAGCUGCCAGCUCGCUCCGAGCUCUGUCUCCAUCUGCCCACACUCAGCCUCCUCCAGCCACCUCUUAGGAGCUUACUGCGACUGAGAAGUCCUCGCAGGCUCCUGAAGGUCUCCUGCAGGCUGAGAACGACUGCAGAAGAAGGGAUGUUCCUCGCCACGGUGUGCCAGGGCUCAAGCUGCUGCAGAAGAGCAGCAAGGGAGAGAAAGGGGGAUCAUUUGUAGAGCAGCAGAGACAGGUCCAUGCAGGAGGUAUCUCAGAAAUGUAGGUGGUGAGUUACCCCAAGGGCAGCCAGGGCACCAGUUUGCAGUGACUCUCGGUCUGUGAAGCCCAACCAGGGAGGUUUGCUGAGGGACAAGCAGAAAUCCCAUGCCUACAAGCCCCCCUUUGGCACAAUGAGCCUCACAGGGUGACCACGGCUUUCCAAGGAGCCACCUCCCUGUUGGAUCUUCCCUUUUGGCAAAAGGCUGCUUGGGGCCACAGCAGCUUGGAGCUUUCUGCCUCCAUCUCUGGUCUCCAAAACCUCCAGACAACCCGAGCGGCACAGAUGGCCACGGUCAAAUCCCCCAUGCCACUGUCACAUCCACAAAACAGCCCCAAUCCCAAAAGGUCAGCCUGCUGGGUCCUGGUGGCAGGAUGUGUCCUGGGUCCUGGUGGCAGCCCCAAAGGACAGAGCAGGCUCUGCUCCAGCCACCCCCAGCGCUGGGUUAGUGCCCAGCAGGGAUUACAGCUGCGUGGGCUACGAGCUCCAAAAGGCGCGUGUUGAAUCCAGGGGCUGGCUCUUGGGAUCUGUCUGCCCCCAUCUGGCAUCUCCUGGGGAAACUGGGAUGCUCAGGAGGGGCCGAAGGGUCUGCUCCUUCCCUGUCUAGGAGAAGGCAAUGGACUGAAACAGGAAAAAUGAGAGAAAUGAACAUCAGCUGCUCAGUCCUACAACAGCUCUUAGAAAAAAAGGGGAUGUGGGGAACCCAGGCAGAUCCCCAUUAAGCUGAUGCCCUGCCACGGCCAAUCCAUGUCAGGUCCCAGCAAGAUCCCAACAGCCAGUGCAUCCCUACAUCGUGGAGGGGCCAGGGGACAGAAAAAGGACGUGUCCUUAUCCCUGGUUUACACGCAGAGGCCAGAGCCAGGUGGGACCCUCCUGGGGGAGGCAGGCCCUGCUCAGGCCGUGCUGGUGUGAGACGGUCCUGCCUCCUCCUGAAACGCCUGGGGAAAAUUAUAAAUUGCUUUUCCUCUGCUCUUCCCCAACUGGGAUUAUUGACCGUGGUCAGGCCGGUGGCUCAGAGCUUGCUAAUGAAUUGUAAUUGGAAAGAAGCUGCACUUUGACACGUUUUAUUUUAUUUAUGUCAGAAUUCGCCAUGCGUUAAGCCAGGGGCUCAUUAAAUUAGCGAGGCAGACAGUUCC